Molecule: ribosomal RNA, 429 nt
Filed under: Pseudomonadota bacterium
Lineage: Bacteria; Pseudomonadati; Pseudomonadota
Description: Proteobacteria bacterium partial 16S ribosomal RNA
Rfam family: Bacterial small subunit ribosomal RNA
Source: RNAcentral
UGGGGAAUAUUGGACAAUGGGCGAAAGCCUGAUCCAGCCAUGCCGCGUGUGUGAAGAAGGUCUUCGGAUUGUAAAGCACUUUAAGUUGGGAGGAAGGGCAGUAAGCGAAUACCUUGCUGUUUUGACGUUACCGACAGAAUAAGCACCGGCUAACUCUGUGCCAGCAGCCGCGGUAAUACAGAGGGUGCAAGCGUUAAUCGGAAUUACUGGGCGUAAAGCGCGCGUAGGUGGUUCGUUAAGUUGAAUGUGAAAGCCCCGGGCUCAACCUGGGAGCUGCAUCCAAAACUGGCGAGCUAGCGUAGGGCAGAGGGUGGUGGAAUUUCCUGUGUAGCGGUGAAAUGAGUAGAUAUAGGAAGGAACACCAGUGGCGAAGGCGACCACCUGGGCUCAUACUGACACUGAGGUGCGAAAGCGUGGGGAGCAAACAGG